Long non-coding RNA from Acinonyx jubatus (cheetah), 979 nucleotides. RefSeq lists it as uncharacterized. The transcript has 6 exons. Lineage: Eukaryota; Metazoa; Chordata; Mammalia; Carnivora; Felidae. The record is from RefSeq and is a predicted model, not a curated record.
AAACCAACUAUCUUGAUUAAACAAAUGGCCACUUUGGAGCUGGGCUGAGUCAUGGGGUGGUUUCUCUUCUGGGGAGAAAGUAUCCAAAGGAAGUGGCAGGGUUAAAGAGCCCCAGCCCCUGGGUGCACCCCGGGGGCUGCCGAGUGUUCGAUGCGGAAGGGCCGAUAGUUAACUACCGUCCCACGCACAGGAUGAAAGCCCCGGUCGGUCUUUCUUUGAUCAAGAGGGUGAAGAAACCGUGAUGCUCAUAUCCGGGGCCGGUCCUCCCUGUGUUCUGUAUUUAGCUACCCUGGUUCCAGGCAGCCAUCAACUCGCUCCUGGUCAAUAUCCACCUGACCUCUAUGACACAGCGCUAACCAAGGUCAUGACUGCCGGCCUGUAUUACUAUUUCAUGAAUCUUCGUUGCCCACUGUUCCCACCAGACCGAAAGCUCCUAAGGCAGGCGUUCUGUUUUGCUGGCCAUUGGAUUCCUGGCAUAGAUACCGGGCACUUGCCUGGCCCAUGGACACCUCCAAUAUCAUAACCAGCUCGAUGUGAGAAACUAAAGUAUUUGUGAAAUUUCAAACACGCUUCAACUUGUUCACGAAGUUAAUAUCCAUCGAAUGUGCACCAGUGAUCUGCCGUGAGCCAGGCAUUGGCAAAGCAGGGACGGGGCAGGCAGAGAGAACUUCGCUCUCAAGGGGCACACGUUGCCCUUGUGUGAACUCGUGACCCUCUGAUCUUGUGGAGUCUCAGAAAACCAGAAGCUUCUCUUCCUGGGUCAACAGGAAGUGACCUCAGCACACUUGUGGUUCAUCUUUUUAAUACGGAUUGAUUUCCCUGAUGUGUAGUCUCCCCUUUAUCUCAAGCAAAAAUUGAGCAAUUUUGCUCUCCGUGUAAUCACUGCAGGCCUCCCACAUAUUGUCUAUUUCCCCAAGGCUCUGUUAUCACAACAGUGUGGAAUUGAAUAAAUUUCGGCACAUGGCCCUAAAGGAGAGAA